UCUUGGGCUGUAAACCUCUUUUAUCAAGGAAGAAGAUCUGACGGUACUUGAUGAAUAAGCCACGGCUAAUUCCGUGCCAGCAGCCGCGGUAAUACGGGAGUGGCAAGCGUUAUCCGGAAUUAUUGGGCGUAAAGCGUCCGCAGGCGGCCUCGUAAGUCUGUCGUUAAAGCGUGGAGCUUAACUCCAUUAAGGCGAUGGAAACUGUGAGGCUUGAGUGUGGUAGGGGCAGAGGGAAUUCCCGGUGUAGCGGUGAAAUGCGUAGAUAUCGGGAAGAACACCAGUGGCGAAGGCGCUCUGCUGGGCCAUAACUGACGCUCAUGGACGAAAGCCAGGGGAGCGAAAGGGAUUAGAUACCCCUGUAGUCCUGGCCGUAAACGAUGAACACUAGGUGUCGGGGGAAUCGACCCCCUCGGUGUCGUAGCCAACGCGUUAAGUGUUCCGCCUGGGGAGUACGCACGCAAGUGUGAAACUCAAAGGAAUUGACGGGGGCCCGCACAAGCGGUGGAGUAUGUGGUUUAAUUCGAUGCAACGCGAAGAACCUUACCAGGGUUUGACAUCCUGCGAAUCCCUUGGAAACGGGGGAGUGCCUUCGGGAGCGCAGUGACAGGUGGUGCAUGGCUGUCGUCAGCUCGUGUCGUGAGAUGUUGGGUUAAGUCCCGCAACGAGCGCAACCCACGUCUUUAGUUGCCAGCAUUCAGUUGGGCACUCUAGAGAGACCGCCGGUGAUAGACCGGAGGAAGGUGUGGAUGACGUCAAGUCAUCAUGCCCCUUACAUCCUGGGCUACACACGUACUACAAUGCUACGGACAAAGGGCAGCAAACUCGCGAGAGCUAGCAAAUCCCAUAAACCGUGGCUCAGUUCAGAUCGUAGGCUGCAACUCGCCUACGUGGAAGGAGGAAUCGCUAGUAAUCG
Molecule: ribosomal RNA, 913 nt
Filed under: uncultured cyanobacterium
Lineage: Bacteria; Bacillati; Cyanobacteriota
Description: bacterial SSU rRNA
Rfam family: Bacterial small subunit ribosomal RNA
Source: RNAcentral